UUAUACUUUGUGAUUAUUAGAAUUUUCCUUAAAAAUUGUUCAUUCUUAAAACCGUGGAAAAGACAAGAACUCUUCUAUAAAAAUUUCCAAUUAAUUGUUUACUUCGGCUCGAAUCAUUCCAAGAGACUUUUGUUGAAAUCACUCGUCCAGAUUUCUUCACGAUAUCGACGGAAAACAAAUCCGCGUAACCUGCAGGAUUUUUCAUCAGAAUUUCGUGUACGAAAUCCGGCUGUUCCCCCGGCGAAAUAGUUGGUAUUAACAACGAUCGAAAUAAUAUUAAUAAAACCGUUGAGAAGUAGCACAGAAAUUAGAAUGCUCGACGCUUAAUUUCGAGCUUGAUUGUGAGAAAUCAAAAUUAUGAAGUACAAAAAAAUACCCUAGAGGUUGGGGUUACUUUCAACGACAACAAAUACACGAUAUAUAGGCAACGAAUGGUUUAGUUGAUCAUCGAGGAUAAUCAGGAAAUAAAGAUAUGUAACGAAUACGGACAGAUGGGCAUAAAUGUACACAUGUAUUUACCCGCCACCGUAACGAAAUGGCCGGUAGAGUGUUGUACGCAUAAUACGCACGAGAAAAUUAUAGAAAUACCGACACAAAUCGAAGUCGAAUAAAUUUUUAAAUCGAAAUACGUGUCGAGAGCAUAAUACGUUUAAACAAUGCAUCAAUGAUAAAAAAAAAGGAAAUGCUACAUUAUUUUUUUAGUCUUGCUAGAGAACACACAGAAUGCAAUUGAAUUUUAUUAGAAUAAUGAACAAAGUGAGAUACACAUUUUUUUCGUUUACAAUUCUGAGGUAUGGAGUAUAUAAACAUCACAAUUUCUUUCUCAUUUGGGAGUACUCAAAAUGUUAAAAAAUCCUUGAUCACUGAUCUAAGAAAAAGUAUAAGGUAUAAAGUUAACUGGCACUCGACACACUGUUGUAAAUAGUGAAUGAGAAAGUAUAUAGUAAGUAAAUAAGCAUUUUUGUGCAUGUAGUCUGAGAACUUACGAAGCAAGAGAUUUUUAAUGAAAUGCAUUAUGUUGUUGCUAUGCUUCCGAUCGAACAGCAAAAUGUUAUGGAAAGUGAAGAGGAAGGAAACAUUAAGAGACAUACUGCUUAGAUUCUAGUUAUAUUUAGCAGAAUAAACUUUACUUACAUUUUUGUAAUUAUAGAAAAUAGCUAAACUAACAACAGGUAUUCAUUUUUUAAGGAACAUAGAACUUGCCGCUGCAAAAAGCAAACCGAUGGAAUUUAAGUUCUGCUCUACGGUAUAUCAAUAAUGUCUCAACUAUGGAACACGCUAUAUUAACUUAUUUGUAAUUAUUCCAAUAAUAUCCUCCAAAGCAUUCUAUCAGGUACUUUCUAAGUGUAAACUAACAAAACAAACCAUCUUCCUACUGCACCUAUACAUACGAAUAAAGUAUUUUGCUCAAGUUUUCGUACUAUGCAUGAAAA
This is a long non-coding RNA of Megalopta genalis, 1433 nucleotides long. RefSeq lists it as uncharacterized. The record is from RefSeq and is a predicted model, not a curated record. NCBI's taxonomy places the organism in Eukaryota, Metazoa, Arthropoda, Insecta, Hymenoptera, Halictidae.